CUCGCAAUCGUUUCUUUCUCAGUUUCUUAUAAUUGUUUCUUUCUUCCAUUCUGUGUCGUUGUUCUUUCUUCCAAAUGCCAACUGAGUGAAGCAUCGAGGUGAAGAGACAAGUCAGCUCUCCCUGCGGCUCCUCUUGCUCAUCUCGUUGCUCUCCGCCUCUCUGAUAAGGACAUAAGGCCACAAUACUAAGGUUGCUAAGGAAGGAUUUCAUGGGAGUGACUCUGAAAAUUUGGCUGUGGAAGCUCUUAAACUACUCAAGGAAAAUGCACACAAAUUGUUUGUAGAAAUGCCUAAAAGAAGGGUUCCAUAUACACUGAUUCUCACAUACGAAUUAACCAGUUCUAAAUCUGUUGAUUGUGUCAACAGAAUGUACCUUUUGGAAAAAAAACCUAACAGGGAGUACGAUCAGAUACUGAAGUUGGAUCUAAUUUCUCAAGUUCACAAAGAUUUUUAAUAUUCUAAGGUUCAAUUCUUUUCAACACCGCAUAGCAGAGGAUGAUUAAGGCCUCGUUUGAUAGUUGCUGAUUGAGAAAGUGCUGACUGAGAAAGAUCUGUCUGGGUAAGAAAUCCUGUUGUUUGACUGUACAUCUGACUGAAUGUGCUGAGUGAUGAAAAAUGACCAUUUUACCCUGCUGUUAUAUAUAUUGAUGGAUUAAAUUGCUGAAUAAUUAUAAAAACAUACAUAUUAUCAUAUCAAAUCUAAAUUACACACAAAUAAAAAAUGUCAUACAAAAUGUAAAUUAAACAUUAAUAAUUUAAUAUCCAAAUAAAAACAUAAUGAAAUUUAAAAUAACAUAAUUUAAUGUAAAGUAGGUGAAAGUAGUCGAUUUGCAAUCUGAUCACACAAAACAUGCAUAUAUUCAACGGCUUCUGGACCCCAUUCUAUGCCUUGUAUGUUUUCUCUAUCAAUUCCCCCACCUUGGACGUCAGGAGUAACCAGUGUCCUCCUCAAAAUUUCUAAACAAGUCAUCUUCUAUAUUGUAUUUCCUUAUAAAAUUAUGGACCGCGACACAAGCAAUGACUAUGUCUUUUUGCACUGUAAAAGGAUAAGGAGCCAUUUGUUUUAAGAUUGGGAAUCUCGGCUUCAAUACACCAUAAGCACGCUCAAUAACACAAGCAAUGACUGUCUCUUGCAUCUCUUUUUUUUUUUCCCACCAACUUCCUUAUUUUUUGAACGCCCCAAAGAUUCUUCACUUGCACCUACGUGUUGUGUUGAGGUUUCCAUUGGAACAUCAUCAUCAAAAUCAUGGGGACUAAACUCUUCUACAGAACUAGGGAGUGUAGAAGAUGGCCCCCAACUUUGAAAUCCGAUUGAUGUCGACCCUUCAAAUAGUUGGGUGCAAAGAUCAGGGAACAAUAGGGGUUUAGUUUUCAAUGACAACACGAACUUGUUCAACUGUUUACAAUUUUUAUAAAUAUUAGUUUAUGUUAUAAAUUUAAUCAAAUAGUGUAUGUUAUAAAAAUAAUCAUAAUAGUAUUGAUUAAAAAAAUAUUACCUUCCCCUCUUCUUUCCAUUGUUCAUCGGUCAAAUUAAAUUUAUUUUUUAUAGGAUCAUAUAUAUUGCCGGUUUUCUUUUUGAGUUUCACCCAAGCAACAUACUUUGAUUUGUAGUAGUCAGAGUGGUUUCUCAUUUGCUUUUGAUCAACCUCUUUACCGUGUUCGUUUAUCAAUUUUUCGCGUAUUGUCUUCCAUGAACUUGCCUUAAGCCCAGAACCCUCAUGACCAUUAGUGGUUAGUUUAUGGAUACAUGCAUCAAGAAAAGUUUUGUCCUCACUUUCGUUCCAAACCAACAUCCUAAAACAUUAAUAUUUAAAGUAAUUUAUCAUAGUUUUUAUCAAGUUUAAGAACAAUUUUAAACAUAAAGCAAUUUUCAACCAAGGAAGUUAACAUCAUCCUAAAUUAUGAUUUGAUACCUUAUACACAAACAAUUUCAGAUGUCACAAAAGAUAACAAACUAACAAUUAAGGUCAACAAUAUCAAAGCUAUAAAAUAAGAAAAAAAAACAGCCCAAUUUUUGAUUUUAUAGCUUAUACUUUUGAUACUAACACAAGCUCAAUAAUUGGAAGGCAUGUGAUGUUGCAUGCAUUCCCCCUCUCGCUCAUUCUUCAAGGAACAAUUGGAUUAUUAAAAAAGUUAGGUUACCAUUAAUCUUAUAAUAAUUAUUUAUUAUUAAUUUUACUUUUGUACUUUACACAUAAAAACACAACAUUUGAUUGUAUUUUCUGUAAAACAUGUGAUCGUGGGCUUGAAAAUGGGAAUUUACAAACCUACUUGUAUUUUCCAAUUCACAUUCAAUUUCAAUUCACAAGCUAUAAAAUCAAAAUUCAGAAAAAAAAACUUCCAAUUCACUUUCAAUUUCAAUUCAUAAGCUAUAAAAUAUGAACCGGAGAAAAAAACUUCCAAUGUGAAUUGGAGAAAAAAACUUCAAAUUCAGAAAAAAAAAAAAAAACAACUACGAAUUCACAUUCAAUUUUAGAAUUCAUAACAUUAGAAAAAAAAACUUCAAUUUUCAGUUCUUAUACACAAACAACUACAAAACAAAACAUAAACAAACUUCCAAUUCACAUAUAAUUUCGAAAUUCAUCAUAUUAGAACAAACAAUUUCACAUUUCAGUUCUUUACACAAAGAACUACAAAAAAGAACAAAAAAAGCUUAUCAUAUGAACAUACAGGUUGAGAAUUCAUAAUAUUCUAACAAAUACUAAUUUGAUUUCAUAAAAAACUACAAAUUUCAUACCAUCAAAGCAUAAUUGGUAUCUGAUUUUGAAAAUUAUUAACAGAAAAAUUAUCUAACCUGUGUGAUGGAUCGAGAAGGCGUCACUGAUGACGGUGGCGGAGGUCCGGCGAGGUGGCACAGGUCCGACUGUUUGGCGUUCACUCGUUGUGGAGUUCUUCCUGGCGGCUGCUGUGCUUUUAGGUCACUGGAAGGGAAGCGAAUGGGGGAAGAAAUAAUAACGACGCAGGGGCAAGAUAAGGGCAAGAUCGUCUAAUUUCCAGUCAACAAUUGUGUAAAAACUGAGCCAGAAAGCGAUUUGGGUCAGUAGAUCUUACCGAGAAAGCUCAAAUCAAACACCAAAGGUUUGACCGAGUCAGCCCAAUUUGCUGACUCGACCCAGUCAGACAAUUAUCAAACACUCCCUAACUUCUUAUGUGGUUUAAGAUCAUGGUGAAUGUAUGCUCUAUCAAGUCAAAAAAAACCCAAGCUGAAGCAUUAUGAGUUUUGACGUUUGAGGAAAACAAGUCUAAGGCAAUGGAUGAUGAAUGUUUUGAAGUUGAGAGUGACAAGAACGGGAUUGUGAAAUUUGUUUUCAAUAAAGGAAAACAAAAAACAAUGAAUCAAGAAAAUGAAGGAUAGAGAGCCCGUAACUCGAGCUUUAUGUCAAACUUAUAUACGGUGAAGUGUUGCCAUUUAACUUGGUGAAGUCUCCAUUGUGGAAAGAAGCUUUGAGACUUAUAGGAGAGUAUGGGAAAGGAUCGAAACUUCCUUCAUAUCAUGAGGCGAGAGUAACAUACCUAAAGAAAGAGGUAGAAUGUGUUGAAAAAGGGUUGAAUAAGUACAAGGAAGAGUGGAAGAAAACCAAGUGCACUCUUAUGUUUGACGGUUGGACAGAUGGAAAACAAAGGUCUAUCACAAAUUUUCUUGUGAAUAGUCCAAGUCGCACGGAAUUUGUGAAAUCAAUUGACACAUCUUUGUUUGCUAAAGAUGCAAAUAAGUUAUUUGAAAUGCUUAAUUCAAUUGUUGAAGAAAUUGGGGUGGAGAGACCUCGUUUAAAUUGGUCACCGUGUUUAAAUUGGUUUAUGUGUUAGUCGGUUCAAAGUUGGAGCAAGAGAGACCUCGUUUAAAUUGGUCACCGUGUUCCGCCCAUUUAAUUGACUUGAUGUUGCAAGACAUAGGAGGUGGAAAAACAUUCAAAGACACUUUAGAUAAAGCACGAAAAGUAACCGUUUAUAUUUAUAGACAUUGUGUUUUGUUAUCCAUGUUUAGAAGGUUCACCGAUGGUUAAGAAUUAACACUGGGUAACACGAUUCGCUACUUCUUUUCUUACAUUGAAAAGAUUUCAAGGGUUAAAACAUCCAAUUCAAUAGUUGUUUGCUUCUAAUGAAUGGGCCGAAUCCACCUUUGCUUCUAAAGAUGAAGGGAAGUUAGUUGAAAAAAUUAUUUUGGUUGAUGUCAACUUUUGGAAGGCUAUAAAAUAUUGUUUGAGUUGUGUAGUUCCUAUUUUUAAGGUAUUGAGACUUAUGGAUGGUGAUGUGAAACCGACAAUGGGAUAUAUAUAUAUAUAUAUAUAUAUAUAUAUAUAUAUAUAUAUAUAUAUAUAUAUAUAUAUAUGAUUAAACACAUACUUUCUUUUAUUUUAUAAACUAGUCUUCAUUUCGAGGAGAACUUUAAUGCUGAUAAAGAAGUCAAAUGUGGAUUGUAUGAUGUCAUUGAAAGGAUGUAUGAUAGACCAACAGUGGUGACAAUUCAUGAACAACUUGUAAAGUUCAUUGAGAGUAUCGGGAUGUUUGGGAUAUCCGCAGCCGUGUUAAUGAGAAAGAAAAUGCAACCUGGUAACUUUUAGGAAAAAUAUAACCUAGUAAAAUAUAUAAUAAUUACAUUAUUAUUUAUUACUCAUUUGUUCUAUUAAAUUGUACCUAAAUGGUGGUCAAGUUAUGGAGAUGAGUGCCCAGAACUUCAACAUCUUGCUAUUCGUGUCUUGAGCCUCACAUGUAGUGCCACUGGAUGUGAGAGAAAGUGGAGCAGUUUUGACCAUAUACACUCCAAAAAGAGGAACCGUUUGGAGUAACAAAGGUUGAAUGUAUUGGUGUUUUGUGAAAUAUAACAUCAACCUUGAUACACGCCUUCAAAAGAGAAAAGAAAGAGGGGAGACUUAUGAUCCAAUAUGUUUGUCGGACAUGGAGUCAGAUGAUGAAUGGAUUACUGAAAAGGAGGAUGUAUGUCUCCCCGAAGAUAUCUCAUGGAUGGAUGUUCAUGAAUGUUUUAAAGAGGAUGAAGGAACUAGUACUAAUAAAAGGAAGAGAGGACCAAGGAACCUAAACAAAGUGCCUAAUGUUAAAGACAAAGCUAAAAGCCAACUUGUUGACUUAGAUGAUGAGGAUGAGGGAGAUGAUAUUGGUUUCCAUGAGACAACGGUGGUUGAAAAUGAAGAUGAUGAUGACCACUUUAUCCCUAAAGUUUAGUUUUAUGAUUUAAACACACCAAGUCUUUUUGUCACUUGCUUUGUUACUAAAUCACUAGUUGUUUUUUGGUACUUUAUGACAUGUAUGACCCUAACUAGUGAAUUUGUAAUAUAUUAGUAAAUGUGCCUAAAUAUUCGGCUUAUAUUUUGUUGACA
Long non-coding RNA from Lactuca sativa (garden lettuce), 5336 nucleotides. RefSeq lists it as uncharacterized. The record is from RefSeq and is a predicted model, not a curated record. NCBI's taxonomy places the organism in Eukaryota, Viridiplantae, Streptophyta, Magnoliopsida, Asterales, Asteraceae.